Molecule: long non-coding RNA, 792 nt
Organism: Carassius carassius (crucian carp)
Lineage: Eukaryota; Metazoa; Chordata; Actinopteri; Cypriniformes; Cyprinidae
Exons: 3
Source: RefSeq, a predicted model, not a curated record
UACACCAACUGAGAUAUUUUUGAUGAAAUCCAAGAGCUUUCUGAGCCUCCAUAGAGAGCAAUGCAACCGAAACGUUCAAGGCCCAGAAAGGCAGUAAGGACAUUGUUAAAAUAGUCCAUGUGACUUCAGGGGUUCAACCUUAAUUUUGUGAAGCUAUGCAGAUACCUUCUGUGUGCAAAGAGAACAAAGAUAACACCUUUAUUCAACAAUUUCUUCUCUUCUGGGUCAGUCUCCGCCUCCAUUCACGAGAGAACCACGAAGCAUGGGAAGUUCAUCGCUACGAAAUCUCGUUUGAGAAGUCUCAUUCAGCACAGAUCACGAUAUUUGCCAUCAGUUCACGUGUGCCACACGUUGGCUGAAAAGACCUAAAGGAAGCAGUCAGCCCAGCCGUGUUAGUGGAGAGUAUUCGUUCAGAAACAGAAGACAGACAUUUGGAUUUCUUGCAGAUUUCCUUCUCCGUCAUGCACAUGCACUCACCUUUUUAACUCUUUAUCCCACACACAUACUGAAAUGGCAUCUGGAUCAAUAUUAAGACUUUGCAGUGUUCUUUUUUUUCUUGUUUUGUUUUUUUGCAGAUGCAACUUUGUUUUAAUUAUAAGCUUGUAAUGAAUACAUUUUGACCUUCCAACAACCCAUAUACAGUAUAUAUAUAUAUAUAUAUAUAUGUAUUGAACCAAUAAUAAAAAUAAAAGGGGAAAAAUAGUCGUAUUGGUAAAGCUUUGUUUUAUUUUUCGAGCUUCAUAAACUGUACUUGGUGUCUUCCUAAUGCUUAUAUCAAAUAAAAAAGAAAGA